RNAcentral lists this ribosomal RNA (479 nucleotides) under Bergeyella zoohelcum. Its description in RNAcentral is "bacterial SSU rRNA". It matches the Rfam family "Bacterial small subunit ribosomal RNA", at positions 9 to 476 of the family's 1533-position model. Lineage: Bacteria; Pseudomonadati; Bacteroidota; Flavobacteriia; Flavobacteriales; Weeksellaceae. The record is from RNAcentral.
GAGUUUGAUUCUGGCUCAGGAUGAACGCUAGCGGGAGGCCUAACACAUGCAAGCCGAGCGGGAUUUGUUGGUUAGCUUGCUAACUGAUAAUGAGAGCGGCGUACGGGUGCGUAACACGUGUGCAACCUGCCUUUAUCUGGGGGAUAGCCUUUCGAAAGGAAGAUUAAUACCCCAUAAUAUAUUAAUUGGCAUCAGUUAAUAUUGAAAGCUCCGGCGGAUAGAGAUGGGCACGCGUAAGAUUAGCUAGUUGGUGAGGUAACGGCUCACCAAGGCUGCGAUCUUUAGGGGGCCUGAGAGGGUGAUCCCCCACACUGGUACUGAGACACGGACCAGACUCCUACGGGAGGCAGCAGUGAGGAAUAUUGGACAAUGGGUGAGAGCCUGAUCCAGCCAUCCCGCGUGAAGGACUAAGGACCUAUGGUUUGUAAACUUCUUUUAUACAGGGAUAAACCUACUCUCGUGAAGGGUAAGCUGAAAGG